This is a long non-coding RNA of Glycine soja, 1967 nucleotides long. RefSeq lists it as uncharacterized. NCBI's taxonomy places the organism in Eukaryota, Viridiplantae, Streptophyta, Magnoliopsida, Fabales, Fabaceae. The transcript has 5 exons. The record is from RefSeq and is a predicted model, not a curated record.
UGAAAACAUGGAGCUUGAUUUAAUGAAAACAUGGCUGAGUUUUUAAGGACGAGUUUACACGCAGUAGUCUCAUUGGGAGAAAAGUAAUAAUAUUGGGGGUUUGCUUCUGCUGCAUUCUUCUGCGCUUCCCAAAAACAAUGCAGUCCUGCCCCUUCCCUGAUACUAACCCCCCCUCUCUCUCUCUCUCUCUCUCUUAGAACAUUUUCUUUUUUGUUUUUAAUUUUGAUUUCAUUGCUUAGAUCUCCUUCAAUUUCAAUUAUAUUUGUUAAUUGUUUGUUCUGUUACUCUUUUGUUUGAUGAUAAGUUUAUAACCCUAACCUAAUUUCGCGCUUUGUAACCUAAUCACAGGUACUCUUUUGUUUGUUCCUGGUCUUCUGCAAUUCUUUCAUACGUUUCUGUCACUGUUCUUCAUAUGAGAAGAGUAAUGUUUUGGAGGGAAAAGUGAAAAUUUUGUUACUUUAUUAUGAAUGUGUGGAAGAGAAAAGCAUCACAUAUCAAUCCUAGUUUAAUGAUCAACCAUUGUUAAUUUUAGAAUGUAUAAUAAUCUUCUGCUUGAUUUCUAUUCCAAUUAAUCAGUAUGUUAUUUCAAAAUUUAGGUUUCUAUUCCUUGCAUUGGGUGGCUUGUUAUUUGGUUAUGAUAUUGGUGCCACCUCUGGCGCUACAAUCUCACUGCAGUCACCUGAGCUUAGCGGUAUAUCAUGGUUCAAUCUUUCUGCCAUUCAGCUUGGACUAGUGGUAAGUGGUUCCCUAUACGGGGCUCUUCUUGGCUCGCUUGUUGCAUUUGCCAGAGCUGAUUUCCUUGUUAGGUUUUUGCAUCGUGAUCACGACAUUCGCUGCUGCACACUAUUCUGGUCAUCACCACAGAUGAAUCGAAGUUGGAUGAAUGAAAGUCGCUUGAGCCCUGCAUAUGAGGAAGGCGUGGAAUAGUUCUUACAAUUUGCUUCAGAAAGAAGUCGACCUGAUGAAAAUGAGAAGUUUUUUGUCCAUGCAUAAAUUGUUUGAACAGGAGACGACAAAAAGUCGACAACAUACGAGAGCAUCUGUUGUGUGAUGGAAUUAAGAGGAAUUAUACGAUGUGGAUAUGGCAUGGUUAAUUGACAGACAUGCGGAGUGGGUCUCAAUCUGAACCGUUUGAUGUAGAAAUGGGAGAUCGCUUGGAGGAUAUGAUUUGUGACCUUAGACUAGAGUCUUUUCAGCUAGCACAUGCUCCUAUGUAUGAUACAUUGCAUACUGAUUCAAAGAAACCUUUGUAUUCGGGGUGCAAGAAUUCAUUGAUGCUGUUGUCGGUGGUUUUAAGUCUGGUUAAUGUCAAAGCUAGAUAUGGGUGGAGUGACAAAAGUUUUCGUUCACUGCUUCAAGUAUUGCACGACAUGCUUCUAGAGUGAAACACAUUGCCUAAAAGUUACUAUCAAUCGAAGAAAAUAUUGUGUCCCAUGGGUAUGGAGUAUCGGAAGAUUCAUGCUUGCCCAAAUGACUGCAUAUUGUACAGACAUCAAUUUCAAGAAAUUUCAAAAUGCCCUAGGUGUGGGGUAUCACGGUACAAACUCAAGGAUGGUGAGGAGUGUAGUAGUGAUGAAAACUCAAACAAGGGCCCUCCAGCGAAGGUGUUGUGGUAUCUUCCGAUCAUUCCAAGGUUUAAGCAUCUGUUUGCUAAUGGAGACGGCGCAAAAGACCUCACAUGGCAUGCAAAUGGGAGAAACUAUGAUGGAAUGCUUCGUCAUUUGGCUGAUUCCUCGCAGUGGAAGAAGAUAGAUCGUUUGUAUCAGGAUUUCGGCAAAAAUCUUAGGCUUGGACUAGCCACUGAUGGAAUGAAUCCAUAUGGCAGUUUAAGCACGCAACACAGUUCGUGACAAGUUUUGCUAGAGAUUUACAAUUUGCCUCCUUGGUUGUUCAUGAAACGAAAAUACAUGAUGUUGUUUAUGAUGAUAACGGGCCCAAGACAGCCAGGAAAUGACAUCGAUGUGAUG